UGGGGAAUCUUGGACAAUGGGGGCAACCCUGAUCCAGCCAUGCCGCGUGAGUGAUGAAGGCCUUAGGGUCGUAAAGCUCUUUCGCCUGUGAAGAUAAUGACGGUAGCAGGUAAAGAAACCCCGGCUAACUCCGUGCCAGCAGCCGCGGUAAUACGGAGGGGGCGAGCGUUGUCCGGAUUUAUUGGGCGUAAAGAGCUCGUAGGCGGCUCAACAAGUCGGCCGUGAAAGCCUGAGGCUCAACCUCAGGACGCCCGGUCGAAAACUGUUGUGGCUAGGGGUUCGGUAGAGGAGAGUGGAAUUCCCGGUGUAGCGGUGAAAUGCGCAGAUAUCGGGAGGAACACCAGUGGCGAAGGCGCCGCUCUGGGCCGUAACUGACGCUGAGGAGCGAAAGCAUGGGGUAGCAAAACAGGAUUUAGAUACCCUGGUAGUCCAUGCCGUAAACGUUGGGCCACUAGGUGUGGGUCUCAACCAACGAGAUCCGCGCCGUCGCUAACGCAUUAAGUGCCCCGCCUGGGGAGUACGGUCGCAAGAUUAAAACUCAAA
This 543-nucleotide ribosomal RNA is filed under the name uncultured bacterium. Its description in RNAcentral is "bacterial SSU rRNA". It matches the Rfam family "Bacterial small subunit ribosomal RNA", at positions 355 to 905 of the family's 1533-position model. The record is from RNAcentral.